RNAcentral lists this ribosomal RNA (462 nucleotides) under uncultured archaeon. RNAcentral describes it as "bacterial SSU rRNA". It matches the Rfam family "Archaeal small subunit ribosomal RNA", at positions 1 to 424 of the family's 1478-position model. The record is from RNAcentral.
GAAUUCACUAGUGAUUUUCUGGUGAUCCCUGCCGAACCCGACUGCUAUCGGAUUGAGAUUUAGCCAUGCGAGUCGAACGCUCCCCUGUUGCGGGGGGCGUGGCGUACGGCUCAGUAACACGUAGUCAACCUGCCCUGAAGACACGGACAACCCCGGGAAACUGGGACUAAUCCGUGAUAGGUCAUCUCAUCUGGAAGGAGAGAUGGCUUAAAGGGUCGCGCGGGCUUCUUCCGCGCGUUCGCUUCAGGAUGGGACUGCGUCCGAUCAGGCUGUUGGCGGGGUAAUGGCCCACCAAACCUGUAACCGGUACGGGCCUUGAGAGAGGUGGCCCGGAGAUGGACACUGAGAGAAGGGUCCAGGUCCUACGGGGCGCAGCAGGCGCGAAACCUUCGCAAUGCGCGAAAGCGUGACGAGGUUAAUCCGAGUGGCCUCCGCUGAGGAGGUCUUUUGCAAGCCUGGUGU